This 1040-nucleotide long non-coding RNA is filed under the name Homo sapiens (human). Its description in RNAcentral is "small nucleolar RNA host gene 17". Lineage: Eukaryota; Metazoa; Chordata; Mammalia; Primates; Hominidae. The record is from RNAcentral.
GCUCUCGUCUGUAUUUCCGCCGGCGCGAAACGAGCGUAGCUUCCUUGUCGUGUGGCCUCAGUCCUUCGCCGUCCCUCGCCGUCCUUCGCCAUCGCACGCCACCGCACCCCAUCUCUCGAAAUCUGCAGACAUCUUGAUUUUUCCCACGCUGUCUGUCAGGUCUCCGCCGCCACUCGACGCCAGGGCGCCGGGCCUUGUGGGCUGUGCUGCACCUCGGACGGCUUCGCACCAGCCAGCGCCCUCUCUCUCCUGCAGCACUCUGAUCUGCACCCCCUGAGGGGCUUCCACUGUCCGCGGGGUGAGAAUGCCCCUGGGAGUGUCACAUGACUGCCGCCCCAUGUGUGUGAGAGGCGUCCUCUGGGAGAGCAUGGAUCCUGAGGUCCCAGGAUUGUCAGCUGACCUCUGUCCUGUGUGCCCAGUGGCCCCAGGUGACGUGUCUUCAAGAAGAGGCUGAGCUGCGGUGCUUGUAAGAGUCAUGUGCUGUUCCUGGGGCUUGGAUGAUGUAGGGGAAGCAAGGUGAAAGUGGUAUCCCGUGGUUCCACGUUCUGUCCUGCUGUGGGGCUGUCCCUCACAUGCUUUCAGUGGCUGUUGCAGAGGAAGAGCCUCCGGAAAUCUGCGUGGGUCUCAGCCUUAGAUCCAAGGACAGUCCAAGGAAGUCCUAAGACCAUGGAGUUGGUGAUCUGGGAUCUGGGUUUGCUGAUAUUUCUCACCGUGAAUCUCUUGGUGGUGUUUGUGGGCACGAGAGGGGCAGAGAAUGGAGAGUGAGGCUACCACAUGAAGCGUCACCAGAGCUGCUCCCUGCUGCCUGCUCAGAGCACCCCGGAUCCACUGUUCAAUCUGCACAAGAUUCGGGGUCCAGACAUGGGAGACUUCAGCUGCCUCAGAGGACCGUGGACAGGGAAGGCCAGCCUCGCAUCCCUCUGUCCAUGCCUGGAAUGACUUUAAUAACCAAGAGUUUUAUUUUUGAAUUUGUAGCUGUCGUUCACUUUUUACCCACCCAUUCAAUAAACCUUACAGAAUUGCUCCAUGUGCUUCUUAAA